This 77-nucleotide transfer RNA is filed under the name Beijerinckiaceae bacterium. Its description in RNAcentral is "tRNA-Arg". It matches the Rfam family "tRNA". From Rfam's summary of the family: Transfer RNA (tRNA) molecules are approximately 80 nucleotides in length. Their secondary structure includes four short double-helical elements and three loops (D, anti-codon, and T loops). Lineage: Bacteria; Pseudomonadati; Pseudomonadota; Alphaproteobacteria; Hyphomicrobiales; Beijerinckiaceae. The record is from RNAcentral.
GGUCCCGUAGCUCAGCAGGAUAGAGCAGCGGUUUCCUAAACCGAAGGUCAGGGGUUCGACUCCCUUCGGGACCGCCA